AAUAGAUACCCAGGUAGUCCACGCCCUAAACGAUGCAUAUUUGGUGUGGGCAGUUCAGUCUGUCCGUGCCGGAGCUAACGCGUUAAAUAUGCCGCCUGGAGAGUACAGUCGCAAGGCUGAAACUCAAAGGAAUUGACGGGGGCCCGCACAAGCGGUGGAGCAUGUGGUUCAAUUCGACGCAACGCGAAGAACCUUACCUGGGCUCGAACGGCUGGUCAACGGCGGUGGAAACAUCGCUACCCCGCAAGGGGGUCCAGUCGAGGUGCUGCAUGGCUGUCGUCAGCUCGUGUCGUGAGAUGUUGGGUUAAGUCCCGCAACGAGCGCAACCCUUGUCCUGUGUUGCCAUCAUUCAGUUGGGAACUCGCAGGAGACCGCCAGGGGAUAACCUGGAGGAAGGUGGGGAUGACGUCAAGUCCUCAUGGCCUUUAUGUCCAGGGCUACACACGUGCUACAAUGGACGGUACAAACCGCAGCGAACCCGCGAGGGGGAGCCAAUCGGAAAAAACCGUUCUCAGUUCGGAUUGCAGGCUG
RNAcentral lists this ribosomal RNA (531 nucleotides) under uncultured bacterium. Its description in RNAcentral is "bacterial SSU rRNA". It matches the Rfam family "Bacterial small subunit ribosomal RNA", at positions 777 to 1307 of the family's 1533-position model. The record is from RNAcentral.